GAUGAAGAACGUAGCGAAAUGCGAUAAGUAAUGUGAAUUGCAGAAUUCAGUGAAUCAUCGAAUCUUUGAACGCACAUUGCGCCCGGUAGUAUUCUGCCGGGCAUGCCUGUUCGAGCGUCAUUUCAACCAUCAAGCCCCAGCGCUUGUGUUGGGGGCCUGCGGCUGCCGCAGCCCCCCAAAAGCAGUGGCGGGCUCGCUAUCACACCGAGUGCAGUAGUUCAUCUUCUCUCCGGUCUUGUGAGGCGGGUUCCGGCCGUGAAACACCCCACUACAUUCAAGGUUGACCUCGGAUCAGGUAGGAAUACCCGCUGAACUUAAGCAUAUCAUAAGCGGAGGA
Molecule: unclassified non-coding RNA, 337 nt
Filed under: soil metagenome
Description: partial contains 5.8S ribosomal RNA, internal transcribed spacer 2, and large subunit ribosomal RNA
Rfam family: 5.8S ribosomal RNA (bases 1-120)
Source: RNAcentral